AGAUUGAACGCUGGCGGCAGGCCUAACACAUGCAAGUCGAGCGGUAGAGAGGUGCUUGCAUCUCUUGAGAGCGGCGGACGGGUGAGUAAUGCCUAGGAAUCUGCCUAGUGGUGGGGGAUAACGUUCGGAAACGGACGCUAAUACCGCAUACGUCCUACGGGAGAAAGCGGGGGACCUUCGGGCCUCGCGCCAUUAGAUGAGCCUAGGUCGGAUUAGCUAGUUGGUGAGGUAAUGGCUCACCAAGGCGACGAUCCGUAACUGGUCUGAGAGGAUGAUCAGUCACACUGGAACUGAGACACGGUCCAGACUCCUACGGGAGCAGCAGUGGGAAUAUGGACAAGUGGGACGAAAGCCUAGAUACCAGCCAUGCCGCGUGUGUGAAGAAGGUCUUCGGAUUAGUAAAGCUACUUUAAGUUGGGAAGGAAGGCAGUUACCUAAUACGUAUCUAGUUUGACGUUACGACAAGAAUAAGACACCGGCUAACUC
This 486-nucleotide ribosomal RNA is filed under the name uncultured soil bacterium. RNAcentral's name for it is "bacterial SSU rRNA". It matches the Rfam family "Bacterial small subunit ribosomal RNA", at positions 26 to 503 of the family's 1533-position model. The record is from RNAcentral.